CAUGCAGGUUAUCUGUACCUCACCUUGGUGUUGGGCUUCCAGUCCCUGUUGGUGACCCACGAUGUAUGCUACUUCAACUAUAGGUGGUGGGCAAAAACAAAGGGUGAAGUAGUACCCAUUGAACCAACCUACAAACUCUAGUGAAAGUAUCACAAAACUAAAACCAAUACAUAAGGGAAUGGAAGCAAGCAAGGGCUAAAGAAGAGUAAACAAAUGGAAGAAGCGAACAGCAAUGGGUGAGUCUUCUAUUUUUAUAGCUUUUUUGCCUG
RNAcentral lists this long non-coding RNA (269 nucleotides) under Ictidomys tridecemlineatus (thirteen-lined ground squirrel). RNAcentral describes it as "lncRNA (ENSSTOG00000031567.1)". Lineage: Eukaryota; Metazoa; Chordata; Mammalia; Rodentia; Sciuridae. The record is from RNAcentral.